GAUGAACGCUGGCGGUAUGCUUUACACAUGCAAGUCGUACGAGAGUUUUUAACUCAAGUGGCGGACGGGUGAGUAACACGUAAGAAUUUGCCUUUAGGAGGGGGACAACAACUGGAAACGGUUGCUAAUACCCCAUAUGCUUUCGAGUGAAAUGGAUAUUUCCGCCUAGAGAGAAGCUUGCGGCUGAUUAGCUUGUUGGUGGGGUAAUGGCCUACCAAGGCGACGAUCAGUAUCUGGUUUGAGAGGACGAUCAGACACACUGGAACUGAGACACGGUCCAGACUCCUACGGGAGGCAGCAGUGGGGAAUUUUCCGCAAUGGGCGAAAGCCUGACGGAGCAAUACCGCGUGAGGGAUGACGGCCUAUGGGUUGUAAACCUCUUUUUUCAGGGAGGAAUAAAAUGACGUGUACCUGAAGAAUAAGCAUCGGCUAACUCCGUGCCAGCCGCCGCCGUAAG
This 457-nucleotide ribosomal RNA is filed under the name uncultured bacterium. RNAcentral describes it as "bacterial SSU rRNA". It matches the Rfam family "Bacterial small subunit ribosomal RNA", at positions 28 to 524 of the family's 1533-position model. The record is from RNAcentral.